AACGAACGCUGGCGGCAUGCCUAACACAUGCAAGUCGAACGAACCCUUCGGGGUUAGUGGCGCACGGGUGCGUAACGCGUGGGAAUCUGCCCUUUGCUUCGGAAUAACAGUUAGAAAUGACUGCUAAUACCGGAUGAUGUCUUCGGACCAAAGAUUUAUCGGCAAAGGAUGAGCCCGCGUAGGAUUAGGUAGUUGGUGGGGUAAAGGCCUACCAAGCCGACGAUCCUUAGCUGGUCUGAGAGGAUGAUCAGCCACACUGGGACUGAGACACGGCCCAGACUCCUACGGGAGGCAGCAGUGGGGAAUAUUGGACAAUGGGCGCAAGCCUGAUCCAGCAAUGCCGCGUGAGUGAUGAAGGCCUUCGGGUCGUAAAGCUCUUUUACCAGGGAUGAUAAUGACAGUAC
Molecule: ribosomal RNA, 404 nt
Filed under: Sphingomonas sp. oral taxon A66
Lineage: Bacteria; Pseudomonadati; Pseudomonadota; Alphaproteobacteria; Sphingomonadales; Sphingomonadaceae
Description: bacterial SSU rRNA
Rfam family: Bacterial small subunit ribosomal RNA
Source: RNAcentral